GACGAACCAUGCGAACGUUAUUCGGAAUCACUGGGCUUAAAGCGUGCGUAGGCGGCUCAGAAAGUUGGGUGUGAAAUGCCUCGGCUCAACCGAGGAAUUGCGCCCAAAACUACUGAGCUUGAGGGAGUUAGAGGUGAGCGGAACUCACGGUGGAGCGGUGAAAUGCGUUGAUAUCGUGAGGAACACCGGAGGCGAAAGCGGCUCACUGGGGCUUCACUGACGCUGAGGCACGAAAGCUAGGGGAGCAAACGGG
RNAcentral lists this ribosomal RNA (253 nucleotides) under uncultured prokaryote. Its description in RNAcentral is "partial 16S ribosomal RNA". It matches the Rfam family "Bacterial small subunit ribosomal RNA", at positions 524 to 776 of the family's 1533-position model. The record is from RNAcentral.